CUCUAAUCCCCUAAUUUCCGUCGUUCUUUCCUGGAUUGGCUAUUCUCUCCUUCUGGCCUGGAUCAUUUCUCUCGUUUCCGGAGGCAUUGUGGAGGCCAUGGAGGAAACCAUUAUGGC
Non-coding RNA from Arachis ipaensis, 117 nucleotides. Lineage: Eukaryota; Viridiplantae; Streptophyta; Magnoliopsida; Fabales; Fabaceae. The record is from RefSeq and is a predicted model, not a curated record.